GAUGAAGAACGUAGCGAAAUGCGAUACGUAAUGUGAAUUGCAGAAUUCAGUGAAUCAUCGAAUCUUUGAACGCAUAUUGCGCUCUCUGGUAUUCCGGAGAGCAUGCUUGUUUGAGUAUCAGUAAACACCUCAACUCCCUUUUCUUUUUUGAAAUUGGAGCUGGACUUGAGUGAUCCCAACGCUUUCUUCCAAGAAAGUGGCGGGUUGCUUGAAAUGCAGGUGCAGCUGAACUUUUCUCUGAGCUAUAAGCAUAUCUAUUUAGUCUGCCUAAAAAACAGAUUAUUACCUUUGCUGCAGCUAACCUAAAGGAGACUAGUUCUUGUGCUGACUGAUGCAGGAUUCACAGAGACAGCUUCGGCUGACUUUGUAAACUCGAUCUCAAAUCAAGUAAGACUACCCGCUGAACUUAAGCAUAUCAAUAAGCGGAGGA
Molecule: unclassified non-coding RNA, 430 nt
Filed under: soil metagenome
Description: partial contains 5.8S ribosomal RNA, internal transcribed spacer 2, and large subunit ribosomal RNA
Rfam family: 5.8S ribosomal RNA (bases 1-120)
Source: RNAcentral